RNAcentral lists this transfer RNA (68 nucleotides) under Marmota monax (woodchuck). RNAcentral describes it as "tRNA.Ala". Lineage: Eukaryota; Metazoa; Chordata; Mammalia; Rodentia; Sciuridae. The record is from RNAcentral.
GGUUUGUAAUUCAGUGGUAGAGUGCUUGCCUCGCAUGUGUGAGGCACUGGGUUCAAUUCUCAGCACCA